ACUCUUCAAGAAAGAACCAAGCAGAUGUUGGUUGGCUUCGUUUGACCUUUCGCAAUCAUUUGUUUCAUUAAGAAUAUUUCCACUUGGAUGCAAAAGCAGAAUGAUGCAAUAGCAUAAUCCUCCACAUGCCACCACAUCUCACCUAGUUUUAACAUGCAUGGACAAAGAAAUAUCUGACUUACCUAUGAUUGAGCAAUUUACAUAAUUCUUAAUUAGCCAUUAGGCCUCCAUGUACUAAGCUGCUGUCUACCUGGCUGUUUGUUUUUGUUCUUGUUUCUUUGGGUAUUAACUCUAUCUUGUAUUUUGCUCAUAGUUCUUGGUAUUUACCUAUAAUUUACUUAUGAUUCAACAUGAAGGGAAUUUCUG
Molecule: long non-coding RNA, 366 nt
Filed under: Coffea arabica (coffee)
Lineage: Eukaryota; Viridiplantae; Streptophyta; Magnoliopsida; Gentianales; Rubiaceae
Description: long non-coding RNA (CARA_LNC006931)
Source: RNAcentral